This 377-nucleotide ribosomal RNA is filed under the name uncultured fungus. RNAcentral's name for it is "partial 18S ribosomal RNA". It matches the Rfam family "Eukaryotic small subunit ribosomal RNA", at positions 67 to 375 of the family's 1831-position model. Lineage: Eukaryota; Fungi. The record is from RNAcentral.
UAGNAUAUACNAAGCGAAACUGCGAAUGGCUCAUUAUAUAAGUUAUCGUUUAUUUGAUAGUACCUUACUACAUGGAUAACCGUGGUAAUUCUAGAGCUAAUACAUGCUGAAAAUCCCGACUUCGGAAGGGAUGUAUUUAUUAGAUUCAAAACCAAUGCCCUUCGGGGCUCCAAUGGUGAUUCAUGAUAACUUCUCGAAUCGCACGGCCCCGCGCCGGCGAUGGUUCAUUCAAAUUUCUUCCCUAUCAACUUUCGAUGCUACGGUAGUGUCCUAGCAUGGUUGCAACGGGUAACGGGGAAUUAGAAUGAACCAUCGCCGGNGCGGGGUCGUGCGANUCGAGAAGUUUUAUUGAUUCNAUNGGAGNCCCGANGGGUGGG